UCCAAGUGCCAUUCCAGUAGCUCCUCUUGCAAACAUAGUAGUGUCCGUCAAAGAACAACACAAAGAGCCACAAUAACACAACGAGCACCACUGAUAGCAAUACGCCAAACAAACGCAAAAUAUUACUGCAGUCACAGCAUUUCUCCAGCUUCUUGUACUGAUCCAUUUUGAUGAACACUGUGGCAAAGAGGAUGAUCAAACUUGAACAACUCAAAAGCACAUUUGAGACAAAAUUGUUGGAUGAGUUACACGGACAAAUAAACUCAGUCUCCAUCAGUUUUUCUACUACUAUUAGGAACAGGCUUAAGGCGAUAUCCGCUUGUACGAUGGGCUUCACAACCUCCACAAUUUUGGCUACUAUUUGUUUGGAUGCUGGUCCUGUGGAUCCUUUUUUUCCGGAUGCUGAAGCCAUGAUUCUGUAUGCUGCGUGACGAAGAGGGAAUCACUGAUUCUUGUGUUCAGGCCC
Clupea harengus (Atlantic herring) is the source of this 466-nucleotide long non-coding RNA. NCBI's taxonomy places the organism in Eukaryota, Metazoa, Chordata, Actinopteri, Clupeiformes, Clupeidae. The record is from Ensembl.